Molecule: long non-coding RNA, 599 nt
Filed under: Helianthus annuus (common sunflower)
Lineage: Eukaryota; Viridiplantae; Streptophyta; Magnoliopsida; Asterales; Asteraceae
Description: sRNA HanXRQr2_Chr04g0147811
Source: RNAcentral
GGAAUUUCGCAUUAUCAAUAUUCAAGAAUUUCAAGGAAUUAAGGGCCAAGAAGCCGAAAACUCACAACGAAACGAUGGUAUUCUUCGAGUUCAAGGCUUCAGGGACGAAUCGGGACGAUGUUUCUGACCUGUUGAAUCGUUGAUGAUGGGAAUCGCAGGGAAGAGGACGCUCAACUCAAUUGCCGACGUUUGGACUUUCAUGAUGGUUGACUCGUGCUUUCAGACUCAUAUGAAUAUGUAGGUGAUCAAAUAGUUCAAUCACCAUUCAACACCAAUAUCAUCUCUCAACAACUUUUCCAGUUUGCACACUCCACCAACACGCUCCAACCUGCUGAAAGUUUGCACUCUCAUAUGAAAGUUUCCAGUCGAGGAUUUGAACCUGAAAGCGAUCCGACCACCACAAAACACCAUCGACAGUUAGUAAUUAGAAUCUGACUAUUUAAAGUAUUUAAUUUCCAUUUGCCAGCGUAUUAUUGUUUAGGUAUGCAUCUAUGGAUAACUUAUCAUCAUUAAUGAGUGGAGGGUGUUUAUGGUUGCCUGAUAGUUGAGAAUCGGAAAUUACUAUAUUAUCCUUCAUGGUUGGCAUGCCAUGGUUUCUU